GUAGGUGGUUUGUUAAGUAAGGCAUGAAAUCGUGUGGCUCAACCAUGCGGCUAUGCUUUAAACUGACAGACUAGAGGAUGAGAGAGGUUAUUGGAAUUCCCAGUGUAGGAGUGAAAUCCGUAGAUAUUGGGAGGAACACCGAUGGCGUAGGCAGAUAACUGGCUCAUUCCUGACACUAAGGCACGAAAGCGUGGGUAGCAAACGGGAUUAGAUACCCCGGUAGUCCACGCCGUAAACUAUGGAUGCUAGCUGUACACCGUAUCGACCCGGUGUGUAGCGAAGCUAACGCGUUAAGCAUCCCGCCUGUGGAGUACGAGCGCAAGCUUAAAACAUAAAGGAAUUGACGGGGACCCGCACAAGCGGUGGAGCGUGUUGUUUAAUUCGAUGGUAAGCGAAGAACCUUACCAAGGCUUGAAAUCCUGCGAAGAACUACGAAAGUAGAUUGUGCCUUCGGGAACGCAGUGACAGGUGUUGCAUGGCCGUCGUCAGCUCGUGUCGUGAGAUGUUGGGUUAAGUCCCGCAACGAGCGCAACCCCUAUGUUCAGUUGAAUUUCUCUGAACAGACUGCCCUGGUAACAGGGAGGAAGGAGGGGAUGAUGUCAGGUCAGUAUUACCCUUACGCCUUGGGCUACAAACACGCUACAAUGGCCAGUACAAAGGGCAGCCAAGGCGCGAGCCGGAGCAAAUCCCAUCAAAACUGGUCUCAGUUCGGAUAGCAGGCUGAAACUCGCCUGCUUGAAGCUGGAAUCGCUAGUAAUGGUAAGUCAGCACAUUACCGUGAAUACGUUCCCGGGUCUUGUACACACCGCCCGUCAAACCAUGAAAGUCGGGGGCACCCAAAGUCCGCAUUAGCGGCCUAAGGUGAAUUCGAUGAUUGGGGUU
RNAcentral lists this ribosomal RNA (882 nucleotides) under uncultured Candidatus Saccharibacteria bacterium. RNAcentral describes it as "bacterial SSU rRNA". It matches the Rfam family "Bacterial small subunit ribosomal RNA", at positions 571 to 1482 of the family's 1533-position model. Lineage: Bacteria; Candidatus Saccharimonadota. The record is from RNAcentral.